CCUACGGGGGGCAGCAGUGGGGAAUAUUGCACAAUGGGGGAAACCCUGAUGCAGCAACGCCGCGUGAGUGAGGAAGUAUUUCGGUAUGUAAAGCUCUAUCAGCAGGGAAUAGAAAAGAAGGUACCUAAAAAAGAAGCCCCGGCUAACUACGUGCCAGCAGCCGCGGUAAUACGUAGGGGGCGAGCGUUAUCCGGAUUCACUGGGUGUAAAGGGAGCGUAGACGGCCAUGCAAGCCAGGGGUGAAAGCCCGGGGCCCAACCCCGGGACUGCCCUUGGAACUGUGCGGCUAGAGUGCGGGAGGGGCG
Molecule: ribosomal RNA, 305 nt
Filed under: uncultured bacterium
Lineage: Bacteria
Description: bacterial SSU rRNA
Rfam family: Bacterial small subunit ribosomal RNA
Source: RNAcentral